This 79-nucleotide transfer RNA is filed under the name Klebsiella huaxiensis. RNAcentral describes it as "Klebsiella sp. WCHKl090001 tRNA-Thr(ggt)". Lineage: Bacteria; Pseudomonadati; Pseudomonadota; Gammaproteobacteria; Enterobacterales; Enterobacteriaceae. The record is from RNAcentral.
CCGCGAUGUAGUCGAUGCGAUUAUCGCUGGUGGCGGUAUGGUCGGUGGAUUAGGCGAGCGCUAUACCCGCGUCGCCGCC